Molecule: long non-coding RNA, 360 nt
Filed under: Capra hircus (goat)
Lineage: Eukaryota; Metazoa; Chordata; Mammalia; Artiodactyla; Bovidae
Description: lncRNA (ENSCHIG00010023945.1)
Source: RNAcentral
UAUUAACCCCAAUAAAAACAUCAGUUGAAGUCCUAACACAUUUUAAAAUUUAUUUAACUUUCUAGACUAGAGCAUAAAUCUCAUGGAAAUAGUUAAAUCAGAAUUUAUUUAAAAAACAAAUAAUUUCCAGGAUAUGUUGUUGGAUCUGUAGACAACCUUCAUUUUGUGUUAGGAGCCAUAUGGUUAGGAGCUACCACCUUUUCUAUUUUAGGAGAAAUAUGGGAGUGUGAGCACAGAAGACUUUGCAGCUCUCACAAAGGUAUAAUUUGACCUCCUGAGAUUCUGUCUUAGCAAGAAGAAAGUGGAAAAUACUCUUGGAAAGAAAACUAAGACAUUAAGAAAGCCAGAACUUAUUUUUAC